GGUGUGACUGCGUACCUUUUGUAUAAUGGGUCAGCGACUUAUAUUCUGUAGCAAGGUUAACCGUAUAGGGGAGCCGCAGGGAAACCGAGUCUUAACUGGGCGUUAAGUUGCAGGGUAUAGACCCGAAACCCGGUGAUCUAGCCAUGGGCAGGUUGAAGGUUGGGUAACACUAACUGGAGGACCGAACCGACUAAUGUUGAAAAAUUAGCGGAUGACUUGUGGCUGGGGGUGAAAGGCCAAUCAAACCGGGAGAUAGCUGGUUCUCCCCGAAAGCUAUUUAGGUAGCGCCUCGUGAAUUCAUCUUCGGGGGUAGAGCACUGUUUCGGCUAGGGGGUCAUCCCGACUUACCAACCCGAUGCAAACUACGAAUACCGAAGAAUGUUAUCACGGGAGACACACGGCGGGUGCUAACGUCCGUCGUGAAGAGGGAAACAACCCAGACCGCCAGCUAAGGUCCCAAAGUCACAGUUAAGUGGGAAACGAUGUGGGAAGGCACAGACAGCCAGGAUGUUGGCUUAGAAGCAGCCAUCAUUUAAAGAAAGCGUAAUAGCUCACUGGUCGAGUCGGCCUGCGCGGAAGAUGUAACGGGGCUAAACUGUGCACCGAAGCUGCGGCAGCGACACUAGGUGUUGUUGGGUAGGGGAGCGUUCUGUAAGCCUGCGAAGGUGGCCUGUGAGGGUUGCUGGAGGUAUCAGAAGUGCGAAUGCUGACAUAAGUAACGAUAAUGCGGGUGAAAAGCCCGCACGCCGGAAGACCAAGGGUUCCUGUCCAACGUUAAUCGGGGCAGGGUGAGUCGACCCCUAAGGCGAGGCCGAAAGGCGUAGUCGAUGGGAAACAGGUUAAUAUUCCUGUACUUGGUGUUACUGCGAAGGGGGGACGGAGAAGGCUAUGUUAGCCGGGCGACGGUUGUCCCGGUUUAAGCAUGUAGGCGGAGGUUCCAGGUAAAUCCGGUACCUUUUAACGCUGAGGUGUGAUGACGAGGCA
RNAcentral lists this ribosomal RNA (984 nucleotides) under Klebsiella aerogenes. RNAcentral's name for it is "partial 23S ribosomal RNA". It matches the Rfam family "Bacterial large subunit ribosomal RNA", at positions 590 to 1576 of the family's 2925-position model. Lineage: Bacteria; Pseudomonadati; Pseudomonadota; Gammaproteobacteria; Enterobacterales; Enterobacteriaceae. The record is from RNAcentral.